This 411-nucleotide ribosomal RNA is filed under the name Triticum aestivum (bread wheat). Its description in RNAcentral is "partial small subunit ribosomal RNA". Lineage: Eukaryota; Viridiplantae; Streptophyta; Magnoliopsida; Poales; Poaceae. The record is from RNAcentral.
AUGAACCCCAAUCUCAUCCACCUCCAGCGCCGCCACGCCCUGCAACGCCGCCGCGCGCCGCCGAACUCCGCCCCGUCGUCGCCCCGCCGAAAUCCGCCGGAACUCGACCCGCCGUCGCGCCGCCGCUCAAGCCCAGCUUCUGGAUCGGGUCAACGCGGUGGCUCGAGCGGCUGGGGGCGGAUCCGGCGAGGAGGAGGCCGGAGUCGAGGCGGGCCACGCCAUGGGAGGAGGCCGGAGCUCGAGGGGCACGGUAAUGGGUGCGGCGGGGCGGAUCCGGCGAGGAGAGACCGGAGUGGAGGUGGGGGCACGCCAUGGGAGGCUAGCAAAGCUUCGGGCAGCACCAUCCAUAGUGGUUGCUACCUGUGGGAGAAGAGGAGGGAGAUUUUGAGAAAGAGAGAGAGACAGGAGUAA